This 291-nucleotide long non-coding RNA is filed under the name Salmo salar (Atlantic salmon). RNAcentral describes it as "lncRNA (ENSSSAG00000099620.1)". The record is from RNAcentral. Lineage: Eukaryota; Metazoa; Chordata; Actinopteri; Salmoniformes; Salmonidae.
GUUUCUUUUUCCCCUCUCCCCUCCUCUCAUCCACCUCUGGUUAUCCAGACCCUGAGGGAUGUAUGCUAUGGAAGGUGGGCUAGCUACCUCACAGACCAGACCUGACCAUGAGGGAUGUAUGGUAUGGAAGGUGGGCUAGCUACCUCACAGACCAGACCCUGAGGGAUGAAUGCUAUGGAAGGUGGGCUAGCUACCUCACAGACCAGACCUGACCCUGAGGGAUGUAUGGUAUGGAAGGUGGGCUAGCCACCUCAGACCAGACCAGACCCUGAGGGAUGUAUGGUAUGGAAG